RNAcentral lists this ribosomal RNA (550 nucleotides) under uncultured bacterium. RNAcentral describes it as "bacterial SSU rRNA". It matches the Rfam family "Bacterial small subunit ribosomal RNA", at positions 355 to 896 of the family's 1533-position model. The record is from RNAcentral.
UAGGGAAUCUUCGGCAAUGGACGGAAGUCUGACCGAGCAACGCCGCGUGAGUGAAGAAGGUUUUCGGAUCGUAAAGCUCUGUUGUAAGAGAAGAACGAGUGUGAGAGUGGAAAGUUCACACUGUGACGGUAUCUUACCAGAAAGGGACGGCUAACUACGUGCCAGCAGCCGCGGUAAUACGUAGGUCCCGAGCGUUGUCCGGAUUUAUUGGGCGUAAAGCGAGCGCAGGCGGUUAGAUAAGUCUGAAGUUAAAGGCUGUGGCUUAACCAUAGUAGGCUUUGGAAACUGUUUAACUUGAGUGCAAGAGGGAAGAGUGGAAUUCCAUGUGUAGCGGUGAAAUGCGUAGAUAUAUGGAGGAACACCGGUGGCGAAAGCGGCUCUCUGGCUUGUAACUGACGCUGAGGCUCGAAAGCGUGGGGAGCAAACAGGAUUAGAUACCCUGGUAGUCCACGCUGUAAACGAUGAGUGCUAGGUGUUAGACCCUUUCCGGGGUUUAGUGCCGUAGCUAACGCAUUAAGCACUCCGCCUGGGGAGUACGACCGCAAGGUUG